Long non-coding RNA from Columba livia (rock pigeon), 538 nucleotides. RefSeq lists it as uncharacterized. Lineage: Eukaryota; Metazoa; Chordata; Aves; Columbiformes; Columbidae. The record is from RefSeq and is a predicted model, not a curated record. The transcript is spliced from 3 exons.
ACAGACCACAGGAGGGCAUGGUACCUGCUAGACAAGCCUGGGCUGUGUGGGUGCAGAGGCUGUGGGAUAACUCAAGGCCCUCAAGAAGCAGUGGAGAGAGUUUGCAACAACACUACUAUAGGCUGAAAUAACACCUACAAGAAUGUGAUAAGAGGAUGUACGUUGAUGAUUCAACAGCAGACAACAAGAAGAGAGGAGGAGCUGGUUAGUCUGAGAACACAGGGAGUCCUUGUACCUAACAUUGUGUUGCCACCACUUCAGCCUGUAGGCAAAUGUGUAGGAACACCACACUACAGCAAAUGGCUGGAUUUCAACUCAUUGGGACCUGCCCACAGCAUCUUCCCAGCAGACUGGAGCAGCAACACACCGCAGAGCUCUGCGACUGCAAGCACGGCCGGUGCCUCUGCGCUGGAUGCAAGUGCAAAUCUGGUAUAAGCAGGUGCAAAUUUCACUGAAACCAACAUUGUGCUCUCCGCACUCAGCAUAUCUGGCGACCUCAGUUAUGGUCUGUUGAAGUUCUUCUUCCAACAGUUUUUAU